This 72-nucleotide transfer RNA is filed under the name Ictidomys tridecemlineatus (thirteen-lined ground squirrel). RNAcentral's name for it is "Spermophilus tridecemlineatus (thirteen-lined ground squirrel) tRNA". It matches the Rfam family "tRNA". Rfam says of the family: Transfer RNA (tRNA) molecules are approximately 80 nucleotides in length. Their secondary structure includes four short double-helical elements and three loops (D, anti-codon, and T loops). Lineage: Eukaryota; Metazoa; Chordata; Mammalia; Rodentia; Sciuridae. The record is from Rfam by way of RNAcentral.
AGGGUUGUGGCUCAGCGGUAGAGCACUUGCCUACCACGUGCAAAGCCCUGGGUUCGAUUCUCAGCACCCCAU